RNAcentral lists this long non-coding RNA (1398 nucleotides) under Malus domestica (apple). RNAcentral's name for it is "long non-coding RNA (MDOM_LNC001274)". The record is from RNAcentral. Lineage: Eukaryota; Viridiplantae; Streptophyta; Magnoliopsida; Rosales; Rosaceae.
GUUUUUCGCGUCUUUAAACUUGGCCAGCACGGAAGUGUCAUCCGACUCGAUCAACACUUGCUGAGUGGAUUGCUUGUCGAAUGUGGCAUUGCUCAAGGCAGAGGAUACAGUUCCCACAACGUCUAGUCCUGCCUUUGAUGCUAGGUAUGCAGCAUACUGAGAAUAUAUUCGUGUGUCAUCAGUUUUUGCGCACAAACGAUAAAUUUAGGAAGAGUUUGGGCAUCGAAAGUAGAAAACGAAUGAAAUUUCUGGAAAUAAAUGUUACCUCAAUGUUGAUCAAAAUUCCAGUAACUGCAUUUUUCUUUGCAAACUCCAGGAAUUCAUUGAGGGUCACCAGUUUGCCCGCGUCCUUGUUAGCCGGAUUUCUGACUAUUUUUUCCUUGGUUCCGUAGGGGCUCUGCAUUUGUGCUGAAAUAAAUAGACAAGUUGAAAAGCCAUUAGUACACUUAAGCGGCUGGUCGCUAAAUUCGUUUGGAUUCUUCAGCGUAUAUCUGACCAUUAAAUUUAGUAAUGUAGGACGUACUCUGAAGUCUCGUAAUUUCACAAGCUUAGUAUUUACUAGCACGUAGCAAUAACAAAUUUUGAGUUAUAGAUGCUUACGUUUCAAGCUCUUAAUAUCGCUCCACGAGAGUUGGAAGGAGAAGACUCCGGCUUCUGCUUGAAGUUCGGGGAUGGUCUCACUCUUGGUCAUGAAUUGGCUCAAUGCGUUAGUGCCCGAGUUGAGGUCUGGAGUGUCUAAGCAGAAGGCAACACCAUCACUUGACAUUUGAACCGAGCAAUCGAUUAUGUCAGCCCCAUCCUCUACUGCCUGCUUGUAAGCAAGGUCUGUGCAGCCGGGAUAGAUUCCACUAGCUCCAUUUCUAGUUAUGAUCAAAGGAAAUCCUGCAAGUUCGAAAAUUUUCUCAGGAACUUCUUAACAACCACAUCACGCGAUUCACAAUACAGCCCGUCAUUUAUAUUAAGCUAGUAGAAUCUAAUUAAUUACCUGUCUUAGGCUUGGUUUCGUUCUUGUUCUGCGUAAAGCACGCUGCAGAAUGAAAGCAUUGGCAGGUUAACUAGGUUAUAAAUCAAACAUUUGCUUGUAAAAUUACGAAUGUCUGAUAUGAUAUCUCACCGAUUGCUUCUGAUGCUGUAGGAGGGAAAUCGGUCAGCACACCAUCAACAGAAAACUGAGAGUUAUCGACAAACUGCAGGUACUCAGCUGUGGGAUCAAAACUGUAGUUAUAAGGGAGAAUAACAUCAUUGGCAAAACCGGAAGCAUGCACUUCUAGGCCUUCUUUGUGAGCAUCAUUCACGAGUGUCGUGGCUUUCUCCACGUAAUUGUUUUUGUUUACAGGCCAUAUGUAUUCUUUUGGUACAAGGAUUCCGGCUGCAACUGACUUGAUCAUUCCGAGCUGC